AAACCAACAGGGAUUGCCUUAGUAACGGCGAGUGAAGCGGCAAAAGCUCAAAUUUGAAAUCUGGCACCUUCGGUGUCCGAGUUGUAAUUUGAAGAAGGUAACUUUGGAGUUGGCUCUUGUCUAUGUUCCUUGGAACAGGACGUCACAGAGGGUGAGAAUCCCGUGCGAUGAGAUGCCCA
This 179-nucleotide ribosomal RNA is filed under the name uncultured Debaryomyces. Its description in RNAcentral is "partial 26S ribosomal RNA". It matches the Rfam family "Eukaryotic large subunit ribosomal RNA", at positions 62 to 239 of the family's 3401-position model. Lineage: Eukaryota; Fungi; Ascomycota; Saccharomycetes; Saccharomycetales; Saccharomycetaceae. The record is from RNAcentral.